Molecule: ribosomal RNA, 253 nt
Filed under: uncultured bacterium
Lineage: Bacteria
Description: partial 16S ribosomal RNA
Rfam family: Bacterial small subunit ribosomal RNA
Source: RNAcentral
UACGUAGGGUGCAAGCGUUAAUCGGAAUUACUGGGCGUAAAGCGAGCGCAGGCGGUUAUGUAAGACAGGUGUGAAAUCCCCGGGCUUAACCUGGGAACCGCAUUUGUGACUGCAUGGCUAGAGUGUGUCAGAGGGAGGUGGAAUUCCGCGUGUAGCAGUGAAAUGCGUAGAUAUGCGGAGGAACACCGAUGGCGAAGGCAGCCUCCUGGGAUAACACUGACGCUCAUGCUCGAAAGCGUGGGGAGCAAACAGG